AUUAUUUUUAUUAUUUAAUUAAACAAGAGGGUUGAGAAAAUUGGGGCUAUAUUUAAAAUUACCCUCAAUUAAAUUAUGAAUGGCCCAAGAGUAAAUGAGGGCGGCUCAACUGAGUAAAAUAACUUAGCCGAAAGCAAUUAAAAGGAAAAGCCCAAUCCCUAUAUUUCCUCCCCCAAUACACAGUUCUCUCGCGCAAAUCAGAACACACCCACAGUCCUACUCUCUCUCCCGCUCCGCCGCGAACGGUUCCGGCGAGGUUGACGACCAGCCGUGUUUCCUCUCCUCGUCUCGUUCCUUUUUCAAUUCCUCAGAUUGUUUUCCCUUCCGAAAAAUCGAGUCUUGCAUCUCUCCCGUUCUUCAAAACGUGCCCUAGCUCUUCCCCUGCCCGUAUCAUCGUCGUCACCGGUGGAGGCCGGCGAGUCCGCGUCGUCCGUGAAUCAGCGAGGUCGGCGUCGCCUCGCUCUUUUCCCCGAGCCGUUUACAAAAAACCCUAACGCACACACCAAGGUGGGUAGAGAAUCGAACCCAGGUUCCGUCAUCUCAGUUCGUCUCCGCCGUCUCUGGUACACCCGCUGCGCUGCCGCGCCGUCUGAUGGCGCCGCUGCCUCUCCGGUGUUCGUCCUCUCGUUGGUGAAAUAUGGAAGAAUGUGGAAGCAUUAAAGCCAAUCUUACCUUGAGAAUUUGGCAGAAAUGAAUUAGAGGCUCUCUACUACUCUUGAAGUCCUUAAGUGAAGAAUGAAGAGGAUGCAACAAUUGUUGGCUGGUUUUAGACUACCCACGGUCGUGACACUCAUCCAACCCAACUUUACUCAACUUUUUAAUAAAAUAUUCAUUUCUCUCGCAUCCAUCUACACAACCCACAACCUAAUACCUCCUCCAUCCACGAAAAAGAGUCCUGAUUCCCUCUUUUUUUUUGUCCACAAAAAAGAGUCAAGUUUCACUUUUUAUACAAUUAUACCCUUUAUAACUUUAUGUAUUUACUUUAUUUGCCAUUAGAGGACCCACCUCACUAAUUAAAAUUCUCUCCACUUAAACUUAAUCAAACAUAAUUAGCAAUAAAAUAACCCUAAGAUUACUUCUAAUAUUCACUCGUUCAAACCCUAUUUUCUAAAUUUGGAGCGGCGCCUCAGCCUUCUUCUUCUUCGUCUAAAAGCUCAACCUUUGAUCUCGUCGCCUUACUCCUUCUUCUUCACCUUAAGGGGCCGCCUCUCUCAAAGCAAACGUCCCUCAAAUCGCCGCCUCCCUCUGACCUAACACCCCAAAUCGUUGCCUCCCUCAAAUCGUCGCCUCCUUUUUCAAGGUGAGGAGCCACAUGCACUACGCGCCGCCGCCUCUCUUCCCCGACAAGGAACGCCGCCACCGACCGCCUCUCUCUGCGUCACCCUUCAUCCCUCGCUCUCUCUAUUUCUCAGGUAACAACGACAAGCCCUCGUUGUUCCCUCAAAUCGCCGCCUUCUAAGCCCGAAAUCCCAAAUCGCCACCUCUUUGAGCCCGAAACCCUGAUUUCGCCGCCUCACUCCUCCCGAGCUUGAAUUUGUUUUGAUGGAAUUUGUUGUUGAAUUUAUUGUCGAAUUUGUUUUGAAUUUUCAGUAAAUUGUUGAAUUUGCUGGAAUUGAAUUUGUUGUAGAGUUUGAAUUUGUUGUAAUUUCCUAAAUUUGUUGGUGGAAUUGAUUUGUUGAAUUUGUUUGAA
Molecule: long non-coding RNA, 1690 nt
Organism: Salvia miltiorrhiza (redroot sage)
Lineage: Eukaryota; Viridiplantae; Streptophyta; Magnoliopsida; Lamiales; Lamiaceae
Exons: 2
Source: RefSeq, a predicted model, not a curated record